Molecule: long non-coding RNA, 1161 nt
Filed under: Meleagris gallopavo (turkey)
Lineage: Eukaryota; Metazoa; Chordata; Aves; Galliformes; Phasianidae
Description: lncRNA (ENSMGAG00000020053.1)
Source: RNAcentral
AUGCUGCUAGGAUGGCACCACACCGUGCCUGCUCCCAGCGUGAUCCCUGCCUCCUCCUGGUGCCAUGAACCCACACCUCCCAUCCACAGGGAGAGUGUUGCAGGGAGCUCUGUUCCUGUGGGUACAGGGAGCCUUCCUCCUGCUCCUCGCCCUCCCACAUGCUUGGCACACCUCCCACUUCCUCCCCAGCUCAUCUUGAUGAAUUUGGCUCCAUCUCUCCAAUCUGCUUCUGGCCGUCUGGCAAUCCCGCAGAUUACCCAUCCCAGUGCCGGCUUAAGCCCAGCUGAGCAGGGAUCAGGAGGCAAUCGCAGUCCCUUGCCCCGCAAUGCCCGCAGUGCCGAGCCCUGCGCUGGGCAGCCGGACCUCCCCGAGGGGCACAGCACACCCAGGAGCCACAUCCAUCCCCCCCCACGGCACAAUGUCUGCCGGAGAGCCGCAUUCAGCCCUAAAUCACCGCCACAGCACAAACAGUUGGGGGACCCAGGGACCCCUCCGUGCCUCCCCCCACCACCGCCGCCCUUACCAGCUUGCACGGUGAGGAGGAGGAGGAGGAAAGCGGUGGCAGCGCAGCCCCAGCGGCGGGCAGCUGGGGGCCGGGUGCCCGUCAGCCUCGCCAUCGUUUCGCAUCUGCCGGGGCGCGCGGUGCCCGACGGGCGCUUAUGUAGGCCACGAGCCCCCCCAGCCCGCACCGCCACAUCGAUUGGUGGAAACUGGGACCCGCCGUUACCAAGGGAACGGCUUCCAGCCCCGAUCCAUCCCAUCCCACCCCGGCCCCCAGCCCCACGUCCCAGGGCGUCGUGCUCCAGCGAGCCCCGGGCACAAUGUGGGGUCGCUGCCGCUCGCUGCCGUCGGACCGCGCCGGCCCCGUGCGCAGCCACGGCUCUUUGUGCUGCGGGGACGCACUGGGGCUUUUGCAUUCAGGGCACAGUGCGUGCAGCCUCCCGGCUCCCCCACCUCAUGGGUAUUCAUGGCGGCGGCAGCCCUCGCCCUCCCAUCACCAUGGCAUCGGGCUGCCGGCAGGAACUGCCUGCCCUUUUCCCAGCCUUUGCAGCCAAGACACUGCGUGCGCUGCACGAGUGCUCGGUGCCGGCCCUCACUGGCCCCUCGCCCACCCCGACGGCUCGUGCAGGGCUUUGCAGUGGCACAGGGCACCAGAAAUGA